UUUCGGCUCUUGGCUUCCUGCACUGUUUGACUUCAGUUAAGUACUGCCGCCGCGCUACUUCUUAUGUGAAGGUACUGCUACUACUGCAGCGACGGCCAAUGAGGUAGAAUCGUGGCUGCAACUUGGCGAGUUAAGUAGUGGCUUAACUGAACCUGCAAUCUUGCAAGAACUGUUAUUGAUUUUUCAAUGACCAAGCUGUGGUUCGUUGAUUUUGAUUGUACCUAUAUUCUCGUUCUCUAUUAUACCUCUGAACAAAUAUUAAUCUAGGAGUAUUUCCUACAGAGAUCAAGCAGAACUAAUCUACCGAAUUCAGAUAACUCUGUGCAACAGUGUGUUACCAACCAUAGAAAGAGUGAGCCCAUUAGGUUUUCCUGUGAUAAAAUGGCCUGAAGAUUACAGUUUCAAUUUGUUAUUCCAGUCUAGCUCAGGUGUUUCAUAGACUUUCAGAAAUAUCUAUUCUUGAACUUCACUGAAGUGGGCUUCCUUCUGAGAAAAAAAGUACCAAUGCAAAAAUGAUUUAUUUUGAUCAGUAUUCGCAAAAAAAUUACUUUGAUCAGGGAAGAGGAGGCAGUGAGGGGAGUGACAUGGUGACGGGUUGCUUUGGCAUUCUCUUGCACGGGGAUAGGAAGCUGGAGUAAUCCAAGACCAGGUAUGUCCCCAUUGCUCUUAGGAAGGAUACUACAUUUUUUAAGUCGUUUACUCUUACCACUCGAUCACGGUUUACUAUUACUCUAGGUGAGAACUGAGAUUUGCAAUUUUGUUAAUCUUCCUAAUGUUGCUCGCAUAGACAUAGUGGCCAAGAUGGGACAUUUUAUCUUCCUAAUGUUACCGAGUCAGAUUAAAGAUGGGACAUUUUAUCAGGUGUUGCUCGGAUGAGAGUGACCGAGUGAGAGAGAGGUUUGCUAUACCUUGUAUCUGAGCUAACAUCAUUUGAUUUAAUUGUUGCUUUUGAUCAUGCGUUCAGGACUAGCCUACAGCCAGGAAAGAACCUGAACCCCAAGGUGAGUGCAUCCUGUCUGUUUCCCCACUUAUUUAUUUUUUCUUGGGGAAUUUCGAUAAGGCGGUGCAGGUCGUUGAGGUGAUAUGUGAGUUGGAUAGGCUGGCAUGUAAUUGGUUUGGCAGCGCCUCGUGGUCUGAUCUCCGUUCUUGUUUGCUUCAAGUACGCAUCGUUGUGCUGGUAUUUGCAUUCCAGAAGUGGGUUUCUUGCUUCAUGAGAUUUUGCUUAGUUUCUACUCCCUCCGUUCCUAAAUAUUUGUCUUUUUAGGAUUUUAAAUAGACUACCACAUACGGAUGUAUAUAGACAUAUUUUAGAAUGUAGAUUCACUCAUUUUACUCCGUAUGUAGUUACUUAUUGAAAUCUCUAGAAAGACAAAUAUUUAGGAACGGAGGGAGUAUUUUUGUAUUUCAGAGUGACGUAGCGGAGACAAUUAAUCACUCUGGGAUGAUCGUGAACCCUGAGGGUCGUUAACUGUUGUUACAUAAGAUACAUUGAUCUUUCACGUUAAGUCUUGCACAUAAAAAAAUCCAGGCGGCAAUUUCACGUAUAUGAUUGUUCAGAUGACGAGACAAACAAUUUCGUGAAUUAGACAUUUGCACGUAUAAACAAUACCAGCAAAGUCAAUAUCCUUGGUUUCGGUGUUAUUUCUUCAUUUUAGAACCUUGACCAUAUAUUCCACCAGAUGCAUUACUUUGUUUCCCGGAAACUCUACUCUUAGCUAUUGGUUGUUGAGACACCAGCUUCAUUAGCUUUCUUUACCAAAGACUGUUUUUGUUUCAUAUUCAUGCAUAAACUUCUCUUAGUGUAUUUUUUUAAUUCUCUUAGUAUAUAUAUAUGAUAUAUCCCCUUGAAAUGAAAUUUGACUAAUUAUAUUUUUUCAAAAUACUCAGACUUCUUGUACUAAAAUGUUUCUGUUGUAUUAAUUACCUUGUUACUCAAAUUCCAUGAUGUUGUACUAAUUUUUGCCUUGUUAACUAUUCAGUAGGAAGGAGGGGCUCGGUGUUGAAAAAAGAACAGAGAGAAUUGUGCUGAUCAGGAGAAGUUAACUCAAAAUCCAAGAUGUGACCUUCACAUAGCUCACAAACUUAACCACUAUUUGAUUCUUGGUAACAUUGUACGGGACACAUAACAUCCAGUUGUAUAACUGUAUAAGUAGGGUGUACUUGAUACCUAUGUUGUUCUUUGUUAACUUGUUCGCUGAAUAUUUUUCUUGCGGGAUAAGCAUCCGAUCUAUUCAUCAUCUUUCAAGACAGUACAAAUAAAAAAUUACAACCAGAUCCGUAGACCACCUAGCAAUGACUUGCUCACUGAAUUAAUUUGUUUAAAU
Molecule: long non-coding RNA, 2324 nt
Filed under: Triticum aestivum (bread wheat)
Lineage: Eukaryota; Viridiplantae; Streptophyta; Magnoliopsida; Poales; Poaceae
Description: long non-coding RNA (TAES_LNC022939)
Source: RNAcentral